CAUUUUCAGUAAAGAAGUCCUGAGUAAACACGUUGUCGUUGAAUACCGCUUCUCUGCCGAACCUUAUAUUAGUGCCUCAAGCAGUAAUGUCUCAGUUUUAUCUAUGUCAAAGCCCGCGGGCUAAGAAAACACUCUAAGGAAUUUUGCAAAUGGCAAAGAUUAAAGGUCAAGUUAAGUGGUUCAACGAGUCUAAAGGUUUUGGUUUCAUUACUCCUGCUGACGGCAGCAAAGACGUGUUCGUACACUUCUCUGCAAUCCAGGGUAACGGCUUCAAAACUCUGGCUGAAGGCCAGAACGUUGAGUUCGAAAUUCAGGAUGGCCAGAAAGGCCCAGCUGCGGUUAACGUAACUGCUAU
RNAcentral lists this small RNA (355 nucleotides) under Enterobacter hormaechei. Its description in RNAcentral is "cspA thermoregulator". It matches the Rfam family "cspA thermoregulator", at positions 28 to 370 of the family's 428-position model. The record is from RNAcentral. Lineage: Bacteria; Pseudomonadati; Pseudomonadota; Gammaproteobacteria; Enterobacterales; Enterobacteriaceae.